This 471-nucleotide ribosomal RNA is filed under the name Triticum aestivum (bread wheat). RNAcentral describes it as "partial small subunit ribosomal RNA". Lineage: Eukaryota; Viridiplantae; Streptophyta; Magnoliopsida; Poales; Poaceae. The record is from RNAcentral.
UUGGGCGAUUUUAAUGAAAUUUUAUACCCUUCAGAAAAAGAGGGCGGUAUGGCAAGACCACUUGGUAUGAUAAGAGAGUUCCGUGAAUGCCUAAUGGAUUGUGGGCUCAAUGACUUUGGCUAUACCGGUGACCUUUUCACUUGGAAGAGAGGUGAAAUACGUGAGCGUCUUGAUCGGGUGGUCUGUAAUAUAGCAUGGGCAAAUAAAUUUCCACAAGCGGCAGUGAUCAACGAAGAACAUGUUCAUUCUGACCAUCGCCCAAUCGUCCUGGACAUUGGUUAUUUGGAUGAAAAAAUCUUUAAAAGACCUGAGGGGCGUGUUAAACAAUUUGAGGUGAGGUGGUUGAAAGAAGAGACGGUCACUGAAAUUGUUAAAGCAUCUUGGGAGAAAGCAAAGCUUGCAGGUAUUGGACCUUCACUUGCUGAUCGUACGGGAUCGAGAAACUCUAAAGGGACCGAAGGUGAGAAUUAG